GAUGAACGCUGGCGGCGUGCCUAAUACAUGCAAGUCGAGCGAACAGACGAGGAGCUUGCUCCUCUGACGUUAGCGGCGGACGGGUGAGUAACACGUGGAUAACCUACCUAUAAGACUGGGAUAACUUCGGGAAACCGGAGCUAAUACCGGAUAAUAUAUUGAACCGCAUGGUUCAAUAGUGAAAGACGGUUUUGCUGUCACUUAUAGAUGGAUCCGCGCCGCAUUAGCUAGUUGGUAAGGUAACGGCUUACCAAGGCAACGAUGCGUAGCCGACCUGAGAGGGUGAGCGGCCACACUGGAACUGAGACACGGUCCAGACUCCUACGGGAGGCAGCAGUAGGGAAUCUUCCGCAAUGGGCGAAAGCCUGACGGAGCAACGCCGCGUGAGUGAUGAAGGUCUUCGGAUCGUAAAACUCUGUUAUUAGGGAAGAACAAAUGUGUAAGUAACUAUGCACGUCUUGACGGUACCUAAUCAGAAAGCCACGGCUAACUACGUG
RNAcentral lists this ribosomal RNA (497 nucleotides) under uncultured bacterium. Its description in RNAcentral is "partial 16S ribosomal RNA". It matches the Rfam family "Bacterial small subunit ribosomal RNA", at positions 28 to 507 of the family's 1533-position model. The record is from RNAcentral.